This is a long non-coding RNA of Oncorhynchus keta (chum salmon), 859 nucleotides long. RefSeq lists it as uncharacterized. The record is from RefSeq and is a predicted model, not a curated record. NCBI's taxonomy places the organism in Eukaryota, Metazoa, Chordata, Actinopteri, Salmoniformes, Salmonidae. The transcript is spliced from 6 exons.
AGAGAGAGAUGAAAGAGAGAGGGAGAAAGGUGUAGAGAGAGAGGUGUAGAGAGAGAGAUGAAAGAGAGAGGGAGAAAGGUGUAGAGAGAGAGGUGUAGAGAGAGAGAUGAAAGAGAGAGGGAGAAAGGUGUAGAGAGAGAGGUGUAGAGAGAGAGAUGAAAGAGAGAGGGAGAAAGGUGUAGAGAGAGAGGUGUAGAGAGAGAGAUGAAAGAGAGAGGGAGAAAGGUGUAGAGAGAGAGGUGUAGAGAGAGAGAUGAAAGAGAGAGGGAGAAAGGUAUAGAGAGAGAGGUGUAGAGAGAGAGUUGUAGAGAGAGAGAUGAAAGAGAGAGGGAGAAAGGUGUAGAGAGAGAGGUGUAGAGAGGUGUAGAGAGAGAGAUGAAAGAGAGAGGGAGAAAGGUGUAGAGAGAGAGGUGUAGAGAGAGAGAUGAAAGAGAGAGGGAGAAAGGUGUAGAGAGAGAGGUGUAGAGAGAGAGAUGAAAGAGAGAGGGAGAAAGGUGUAGAGAGAGAGGUGUAGAGAGAGAGAUGAAAGAGAGAGGGAGAAAGGUGUAGAGAGAGAGGUGUAGAGAGAGAGAUGAAAGAGAGAGGGAGAAAGGUGUAGAGAGAGAGGUGUAGAGAGAGAGAUGAAAGAGAGAGGGAGAAAGGUGUAGAGAGAGAGGUGUAGAGAGAGAGAUGAAAGAGAGAGGGAGAAAGGUGUAGAGAGAGAGGUGUAGAGAGAGAGAUGAAAGAGAGAGGGAGAAAGGUGUAGAGAGAGAGGUGUAGAAAGAGAGUUGUAGAGAGAGAGAUGAAAGAGAGAGGGAGAAAGGUGUAGAGAGAGAGGUGUAGAGAGAGAGUUGUAGAGAGAGAGAUGAAAGAGAGAGGG